RNAcentral lists this ribosomal RNA (1412 nucleotides) under uncultured Sphingomonas sp. Its description in RNAcentral is "bacterial SSU rRNA". It matches the Rfam family "Bacterial small subunit ribosomal RNA". Lineage: Bacteria; Pseudomonadati; Pseudomonadota; Alphaproteobacteria; Sphingomonadales; Sphingomonadaceae. The record is from RNAcentral.
AUGCCUAACACAUGCAAGUCGAACGAUGCUUUCGGGCAUAGUGGCGCACGGGUGCGUAACGCGUGGGAAUCUGCCCCUUGGUUCGGAAUAACCGUUGGAAACGACGGCUAAUACCGGAUGACGACGUAAGUCCAAAGAUUUAUCGCCGAGGGAUGAGCCCGCGUAGGAUUAGCUAGUUGGUGUGGUAAAGGCGCACCAAGGCGACGAUCCUUAGCUGGUCUGAGAGGAUGAUCAGCCACACUGGGACUGAGACACGGCCCAGACUCCUACGGGAGGCAGCAGUGGGGAAUAUUGGACAAUGGGCGAAAGCCUGAUCCAGCAAUGCCGCGUGAGUGAUGAAGGCCUUAGGGUUGUAAAGCUCUUUUACCCGGGAUGAUAAUGACAGUACCGGGAGAAUAGGCUCCGGCUAACUCCGUGCCAGCAGCCGCGGUAAUACGGAGGGAGCUAGCGUUGUUCGGAAUUACUGGGCGUAAAGCGCACGUAGGCGGCUUUGUAAGUUAGAGGUGAAAGCCUGGAGCUCAACUCCAGAAUUGCCUUUAAGACUGCAUCGCUUGAAUCCAGGAGAGGUGAGUGGAAUUCCGAGUGUAGAGGUGAAAUUCGUAGAUAUUCGGAAGAACACCAGUGGCGAAAGCGGCUCACUGGACUGGUAUUGACGCUGAGUGCGAAAGCGUGGGGAGCAAACAGNAUUAGAUACCCUGGUAGUCCACGCCGUAANCGAUGAUANCUAGCUGUCCGGGGACUUGGUCUUUGGGUGGCGCAGCUAACGCAUUAAGUUAUCCGCCUGGGGAGUACGGCCGCAAGGUUAAAACUCAAAUGAAUUGACGGGGGCCUGCACAAGCGGUGGAGCAUGUGGUUUAAUUCGAAGCAACGCGCAGAACCUUACCAGCGUUUGACAUGUCCGGACGAUUUCGGGAGACCGAUCUCUUCCCUUCGGGGACUGGAACACAGGUGCUGCAUGGCUGUCGUCAGCUCGUGUCGUGAGAUGUUGGGUUAAGUCCCGCAACGAGCGCAACCCUCGCCUUUAGUUACCAUCAUUUAGUUGGGGACUCUAAAGGAACCGCCGGUGAUAAGCCGGAGGAAGGUGGGGAUGACGUCAAGUCCUCAUGGCCCUUACGCGCUGGGCUACACACGUGCUACAAUGGCGGUGACAGUGGGCAGCAAUCCUGCAAGGGUGAGCUAAUCUCCAAAAGCCGUCUCAGUUCGGAUUGCACUCUGCAACUCGAGUGCAUGAAGGCGGAAUCGCUAGUAAUCGCGGAUCAGCAUGCCGCGGUGAAUACGUUCCCAGGCCUUGUACACACCGCCCGUCACACCAUGGGAGUUGGGUUCACCCGAAGGCGUUGCGCUAACUCAGCAAUGAGAGGCAGGCGACCACGGUGGGCUUAGCGACUGGGGUGAAGUCGUAACAAGGUAUC